Harmonia axyridis is the source of this 741-nucleotide long non-coding RNA. RefSeq lists it as uncharacterized. The transcript has 2 exons. Lineage: Eukaryota; Metazoa; Arthropoda; Insecta; Coleoptera; Coccinellidae. The record is from RefSeq and is a predicted model, not a curated record.
UAUAAUCUUCAUGACAUAUCACUUUCCAUCUGGUGCAGUUCUGUGUUACAUUCGAAUGGAUGAACCUGCGACCGAUACGUCAGAGAGUUUGUUUGGAUCCCCGAGAUGAAAGAAAAUUGUUAUUUUUAUUUUCUCCACGAAUUUGAAUUUCUUCAAAUGAUUCACAUCGUAAUUUCUUAUUCACAAGCCUGAGGAAGGGAAUAAAUUUCCCGAAACGUUGCUGCUGAAUAAAUUAUACAUAAAUAGUUCCUUGUGACUGAUACCUUCACCUAUUCUUUUCAAAAAAUUUGGUAUUUUGCCAGUGGUAUCUCAAUUCAUCUUGGAAAUUAUAACAUAUGUGAAAACUAAUGAAGGUUCAUUUCUGCGUAUGAAUUACAAUCAUACUUAUUCAACAACACACUCUUCGCUACUAAUCAUACCACGUCACACUCUGGUGGGAUAUGAGAGGUCUCCCAGAUAUAUGGGAAUUAAGUUGUUCAAUUCCCUUCCAAAGACCUAUAGGGAUAUUGAAAGUGUACAAAGUUUCAGAAGGGCAGUUAAUGAUUUCUUAUUGUCUCAAUGUUUCUAUACCCUAUCUGAAUAUUAUGAUUGUUGUAAGCAUAUCAGGUUAGGAAGUUGAUAUACUUAAUAUGUUUUAAAUAAUGGCUAGUAUGUGAAAUUUUUCCUUCUAUUGUUGUUUUAUUGACUUGUCCAAUACGUAUUUGUAAUAUGUCGCUAUGGAUGAAUAAAUUAUUAUUAUUA